UCCCUCUCAGGACUGCACCUGGAGAGUUUCCAGUACUCUACCAGCCUCAGCUAUGGGACGGAGAGUCAAGCAGAGGCGUACCCAUUCCAUUCCUAGCUUGGACAGUGGCUAGCGAGUGGAAAGACAUCUGCUACAAGU
Non-coding RNA from Ornithorhynchus anatinus (platypus), 138 nucleotides. NCBI's taxonomy places the organism in Eukaryota, Metazoa, Chordata, Mammalia, Monotremata, Ornithorhynchidae. The record is from Rfam.